RNAcentral lists this ribosomal RNA (253 nucleotides) under uncultured prokaryote. Its description in RNAcentral is "partial 16S ribosomal RNA". It matches the Rfam family "Bacterial small subunit ribosomal RNA", at positions 525 to 777 of the family's 1533-position model. The record is from RNAcentral.
ACAGAGAGUGCAAGCGUUAAUCGGAAUUACUGGGCGUAAAGCGUGCGUAGGUGGGUAUUUAAGUCGGAUGUGAAAUCCCUGGGCUUAACCUAGGAAUUGCAUUCGAUACUGAGUGUCUAGAGUAUGGUAGAGGGAAGUGGAAUUUCCGGUGUAGCGGUGAAACGCGUAGAUAUCGGAAAGAACACCAGUGGCGAAGGCGGCUUCCUGGACCAAUACUGACACUGAAGCACGAAAGCGUGGGGAGCAAACAGGA